Molecule: ribosomal RNA, 486 nt
Filed under: uncultured bacterium
Lineage: Bacteria
Description: partial 16S ribosomal RNA
Rfam family: Bacterial small subunit ribosomal RNA
Source: RNAcentral
AUUGAACGCUGGCGGCAUGCCUUACACAUGCAAGUCGAACGGCAGCACGGGUGCCUGCCUCUCGUGGCGUGUGGCGCGCGGGUGUGAAAUACAUCGGAACGUCUACUAUAGGGGGAUAUAUCCCCGCAAGAGCCGCAAUAAUACCACAUACUAUCUGCUGAUAAACAAGGGUUACCUACUGGCCUCGCGCUUUAAGGUUGCCCGAUGGCGGAUUAGCUAGUUGGUGGGGUAAAGGCCUACCAAGGCGACGAUCAGUAGCUGGUCUGAGAGGACGACCAGCCACACUGGGACUGAGACACGGCCCAGACUCCUACGGGAGGCAGCAGUGGGGAAUUUUGGACAAUGGGCGAAAGCCUGAUCCAGCAAUGCCGCGUGUGUGAAGAAGGCCUUCGGGUUGUAAAGCACUUUUGUCCGGAAAGAAAUCUUUGGCGCUAAUACGGUCGGGGGAUGACGGUACCGGAAGAAUAAGCACCGGCUAACUACGUG